GCUGCGUGUGAUGAGGCUUAAGCGACCAAAGUCUGAGUGGUUGUGAUUGUAGCCACAAGAAGCUGAUGCACC
Molecule: small nucleolar RNA, 72 nt
Organism: Protobothrops mucrosquamatus (brown spotted pit viper)
Lineage: Eukaryota; Metazoa; Chordata; Lepidosauria; Squamata; Viperidae
Source: RefSeq, a predicted model, not a curated record